GAUGAACGCUGGCGGCGUGCUUAACACAUGCAAGUCGAACGAUGAAGGAGGAGCUUGCUCCUCCGGAUUAGUGGCGAACGGGUGAGUAACACGUGAGCAAUCUGCCCCAGACUCUGGGAUAAGCGUUGGAAACGACGUCUAAUACCGGAUACGAGCCGAGCAGGCAUCUGCAUCGGCUGGAAAGGACUUCGGUCUGGGAUGAGCUCGCGGCCUAUCAGCUAGUUGGUGAGGUAACGGCUCACCAAGGCGACGACGGGUAGCCGGGCUGAGAGGGUGACCGGCCACACUGGGACUGAGACACGGCCCAGACUCCUACGGGAGGCAGCAGUGGGGAAUAUUGCACAAUGGGCGCAAGCCUGAUGCAGCAACGCCGCGUGAGGGACGAAGGCCUUCGGGUUGUAAACCUCUUUUAGCAGGGAAGAAGCGAAAGUGACGGUACCUGCAGAAAAAGCACCGGCUAACUACGUGCCAGCAGCCGCCGUAA
Molecule: ribosomal RNA, 484 nt
Filed under: uncultured bacterium
Lineage: Bacteria
Description: partial 16S ribosomal RNA
Rfam family: Bacterial small subunit ribosomal RNA
Source: RNAcentral